This 369-nucleotide ribosomal RNA is filed under the name uncultured Leptolinea sp. Its description in RNAcentral is "bacterial SSU rRNA". It matches the Rfam family "Bacterial small subunit ribosomal RNA", at positions 997 to 1382 of the family's 1533-position model. The record is from RNAcentral. Lineage: Bacteria; Bacillati; Chloroflexota; Anaerolineae; Anaerolineales; Anaerolineaceae.
GGAACCGAAAGGCGACCGACCCUUCGGGGAGCUUGCACAGGUGCUGCAUGGCUGUCGUCAGCUCGUGUCGUGAGAUGUUCGGUUAAGUCCGCUAACGAGCGCAACCCUCGCUGUGUGUUACAAGUGUCACACGGUACUGCCGGUCUUAAGCCGGAGGAAGUGGGGAUGACGUCAAGUCAGCAUGGCCUUUAUGUCCUGGGCUACACACACGCUACAAUGGCCAACACAAUAGGUUGCUAAGCCGCGAGGUGGAGCCAAUCCUCAAAGUUGGUCUCAGUUCAGAUUGCAGGCUGCAACCCGCCUGCAUGAAGACGGAGUUGCUAGUAACCGCAGGUCAGCUAUACUGCGGUGAGUACGUUCCCGGGGCUU